AGAGUUUGAUCCUGGCUCAGAUUGAACGCUGGCGGUAUGCUUAACACAUGCAAGUCGAACGGAAACGAUACUAGCUUGCUAGUAGGCGUCGAGUGGCGGACGGGUGAGUAACGCGUAGGAAUCUGCCUGAUAGUGGGGGAUAGCCCGAAGAAAUUCGGAUUAAUACCGCAUAAUCUAUUCGUAGUAAAGUGGGGGACUUUCGAGCCUCACGCUAUCAGAUGAGCCUGCGUAAGAUUAGCUAGUUGGUAGGGUAAAAGCCUACCAAGGCUACGAUCUUUAGCUGGUCUGAGAGGAUGAUCAGCCACAUCGGGACUGAGACACGGCCCGAACUCCUACGGGAGGCAGCAGUGGGGAAUAUUGGACAAUGGGGGCAACCCUGAUCCAGCAAUACCGCGUGUGUGAAGAAGGCCUGAGGGUUGUAAAGCACUUUCAAUUGUGAAGAAAAGUUAACGGUUAAUAACCGUUAGCCUUGACGUUAACUUUAGAAGAAGCACCGGCUAACUCCGUGCCAGCAGCCGCGGUAAUACGGAGGGUGCAAGCGUUAAUCGGAAUUACUGGGCGUAAAGCGUGCGUAGGCGGUUUAUUAAGUCAGAUGUGAAAGCCCCGGGCUUAACCUGGGAACUGCAUUUGAAACUGGUCAACUAGAGUAUGGUAGAGGAAAGUGGAAUUUCUGGUGUAGCGGUGAAAUGCGUAGAUAUCAGAAGGAACAUCAAUGGCGAAGGCAGCUUUCUGGACCAAUACUGACGCUGAGGUACGAAAGCGUGGGUAGCAAACAGGAUUAGAUACCCUGGUAGUCCACGCCGUAAACGAUGAUAACUAGCCGUUGGGGGGAUUUACCCUUUAGUGGCGAAGCUAACGCGUUAAGUUAUCCGCCUGGGGAGUACGGCCGCAAGGUUAAAACUCAAAGGAAUUGACGGGGACCCGCACAAGCGGUGGAGCAUGUGGUUUAAUUCGAUGCAACGCGAAGAACCUUACCUGGUCUUGACAUCCUGCGAACUUUCUAGAAAUAGAUUGGUGCCUUCGGGAACGCAGUGACAGGUGCUGCAUGGCUGUCGUCAGCUCGUGUCGUGAGAUGUUGGGUUAAGUCCCGUAACGAGCGCAACCCCUAUCCUUAUUUGCCAGCACGUCAUGGUGGGAACUAUAAGGAGACUGCCGGUGAUAAACCGGAGGAAGGCGGGGACGACGUCAAGUCAUCAUGGCCCUUACGACCAGGGCUACACACGUGCUACAAUGGGAAGGACAAAGAGCCGCGAAGCCGCGAGGUGUAGCUAAUCUCAGAAACCUUUUCGUAGUCCGGAUUGGAGUCUGCAACUCGACUCCAUGAAGUCGGAAUCGCUAGUAAUCGUAGAUCAGAAUGCUACGGUGAAUACGUUCCCGGGUCUUGUACACACCGCCCGUCAUACCAUGGGAGUGGGUUGCACCAGAAGUGGCUAGUCUAACUUAGUGAGGACGGUCACCACGGUGUGAUUCAUGACUGGGGUAAAGUCGUAACAAGGUAACC
Molecule: ribosomal RNA, 1501 nt
Filed under: uncultured bacterium
Lineage: Bacteria
Description: bacterial SSU rRNA
Rfam family: Bacterial small subunit ribosomal RNA
Source: RNAcentral